This 301-nucleotide ribosomal RNA is filed under the name uncultured bacterium. RNAcentral's name for it is "partial 16S ribosomal RNA". It matches the Rfam family "Bacterial small subunit ribosomal RNA", at positions 509 to 807 of the family's 1533-position model. The record is from RNAcentral.
CAGCCGCCGCGGUAAAACGGAGGGGGCUAGCGUUGUUCGGAAUUACUGGGCGUAAAGCGCACGUAGGCGGCUUGGUAAGUUAGAGGUGAAAGCCCAGGGCUCAACCCUGGAAUUGCCUUUAAGACUGCCGAGCUAGUAGGUGAGAGAGGUGAGUGGAAUUCCGAGUGUAGAGGUGAAAUUCGUAGAUAUUCGGAAGAACACCAGUGGCGAAGGCGGCUCACUGGCCCAUUACUGACGCUGAGGCUCGAAAGCGUGGGGAGCAAACGGGAUUAGAUACCCCGGUAGUCCCUGUCUCUUAUAC